GAACUAACUAACUCUUUGCCAAAUGGAAGAGAAAACGCCUCUGUACAAUUCUAUGUGGUUGUAGCCAUGCAUAACAAAAUAUCUCCACGAUAGACGUGUUCCUGUAUAAUAAAAUAAACAUCGUAGCUCCAUGGUAGAACAUAUUUAUAGUUUGAUCCAAGGCAUCUCCCGUAGGCUCAAUCCGCUCCGACGAGGGUAUAGGCUGAGGCUGAAAGGAUACCGGUCCUCAACGUAACAAAUUGGUUUAAAACACCUUAGAUCGGUGUUUGGAAACAGCAUGGUUUCACUCAAUAAUUAUAAAUGUUGGGAUGGGGCUCUCUUACAGCGAUUUUAAGUACGUCAAAAUAAAGAUCGUAUCUUAAAUAAAUAUUUAUUAUCUAAAGUAAUAUUAUAAUAGGGUAAAUUUUGUGUAUCUCCAUAAUCGGAGAUUACCAACUAAAACUAAAUUUCUAUUAAUUCGAUAUUAACAUUUUUUACGGUUGCAUAGUAAAU
This is a long non-coding RNA of Achroia grisella, 492 nucleotides long. RefSeq lists it as uncharacterized. The transcript has 3 exons. The record is from RefSeq and is a predicted model, not a curated record. Lineage: Eukaryota; Metazoa; Arthropoda; Insecta; Lepidoptera; Pyralidae.